UACGGAGGGUGCGAGCGUUAUCCGGAAUUAUUGGGCGUAAAGAGCUCGUAGGCGGUUUGUCGCGUCUGCUGUGAAAACCCGAGGCUCAACCUCGGGCCUGCAGUGGGUACGGGCAGACUAGAGUGAUGUAGGGGAGACUGGAAUUCCUGGUGUAGCGGUGAAAUGACGCAGAUAUCAGGAGGAACACCGAUGGCGAAGGCAGGUCUCUGGGCAUUAACUGACGCUGAGGAGCGAAAGCAUGGGGAGCGAACAGG
Molecule: ribosomal RNA, 254 nt
Filed under: uncultured bacterium
Lineage: Bacteria
Description: partial 16S ribosomal RNA
Rfam family: Bacterial small subunit ribosomal RNA
Source: RNAcentral